This 276-nucleotide long non-coding RNA is filed under the name Ananas comosus (pineapple). Its description in RNAcentral is "long non-coding RNA (ACOM_LNC013375)". Lineage: Eukaryota; Viridiplantae; Streptophyta; Magnoliopsida; Poales; Bromeliaceae. The record is from RNAcentral.
UUUAAAAAGUAAUUAAUGGAGUAAACAUAUCUUUUGUUUAAAGUUGCUAUUUUCAAAUUAUGCAGUUGAAAUUGCGGCCAAUUUGGGCGUAAUUCCAACUGAUGCAGUUGGGCCUCCUCUUGUAGUUUCUACUGCAGGAGCUAGAGUUAAAUAUAUUAAAUUAAACACCGAAUGUACAUUUGUAUGUAGGUACAAUUACAGUGCAGUUAUAAAUACAUGCAACCAAAUGGCCCCUAAAGUAAAACGCUAGAGAGUAAAAUCAGAAAUUUUUAAAUU